This 105-nucleotide transfer RNA is filed under the name Drosophila yakuba. Its description in RNAcentral is "tRNA-Ile". The record is from RNAcentral. Lineage: Eukaryota; Metazoa; Arthropoda; Insecta; Diptera; Drosophilidae.
AAUGAAUUGCCUGAUAAAAAGGGUUACCUUGAUAGGGUAAAUUAUGCAGUUUUCUGCAUUCAUUGACUGAUUUAUAUAUUAUUUAAAAAGAAGGUUUUAUAUUUA